AGUGAAUGUCACAGCUAGUGAAUUUCAGAGAUUUUCUCUCUUCCUGAGCGCCUCCAUUCAGUUUCCUGGUUCACAGCGCUGUAAAUGUUCCUUUCUCCUAAGAGCCUCAGAUUUGGUCAGCGAGUUCGCGGAACCUUAUCUGUGCUAUUCACGAGAAGCUAUGCAGCGUCUUUGCUGUCAGCCUUUAUUAUCUUUCAGACAGAAGUAUCUGCCUCCUUUUGGAGUCAGACAGCCUGGCUUCGCCAGUAACUGCAUGACCUCGAGCAAGUUACUUAACCUCCCAACUCUCUUUCCUCGUGUGUAAAAUGUGAGUAAUGUGCCAGUAAUCCGUUUACUGCCCGUUAGCAACAUGUUCACCUUCCCUACCUGCUCUGCAGCUCUGACUGGACCCCGAGCCUUUCUCGCUCCGAUUUCACAUAAAAGUGUGAUCACACAUUGUCUUCCGCUACCUGACAUUUCACUGAGCGUAAUGCCAUCAAGAUCCAUCCAUGUUGCCACAAUUGGUACCUACUAUGUGACAGACUCUGAGACUACAAAGACACGUGGCCUCUAGAAUGGGAUAAAAUGACAACCAGGUGGCUUGGGAUCAUCAAUGGUCACCACUGUAGAUUGAACCUGAGCUAAUUCUUGCUGGAAUAGUUGUCAGGAAGACUUUUUCUCUACACCUCCUCUUUCUCCUAACUCAAAUAUAUCUCCCCACU
Bos taurus (domestic cattle) is the source of this 701-nucleotide long non-coding RNA. NCBI's taxonomy places the organism in Eukaryota, Metazoa, Chordata, Mammalia, Artiodactyla, Bovidae. The record is from Ensembl.